RNAcentral lists this long non-coding RNA (1320 nucleotides) under Homo sapiens (human). Its description in RNAcentral is "non-protein coding lnc-PNPLA5-1:3". The record is from RNAcentral. Lineage: Eukaryota; Metazoa; Chordata; Mammalia; Primates; Hominidae.
ACUGACAUCCGCGAAGCUGCUGGCGCGUGGACUGUGUGGGGAGGGCGCGUGGGGUGAAGGUGGGUCUGCGAGAGGGUCCGCUGGGAGGCUGGCGUCUGGCGUUGGCGCCUGAAAGAGAUCAGACCAGCUGUUGGGUGUCACUCAAGUCCUGCUGCUCUUAGCCCUCCUAGCACCCCCGACCCGAGGGUGCUGUGCUUGUGCCCACGCGCCGGUGAAGCCCCGAGACUCAGCGGGGAGACCCCGGGUCCGGCCACCCCCGAGCUGCAGUAGUCGGGUCUCACCGGCAUCUGCUACACAAACCCGGAUUGGUGCCCUGGCUCCUUUCGUUCAAGUCAUUGGAACCCCCACUCAAAAUCGUCAAAAUGAAGACGAUGGUCGUGUCUCCUUCUUGGGGGUUGGAUUAAAAGGGCCUAAUGUGAGAGACGGAAAGCAAAGCUCCCGGCACCGGGCCGGGCACACGGUGGGCGCUAGAUAAUGACCGCUAUUCACUCAACUGCAGCCAGUAAUUAUGGGCGAGGGCCAUCUAGGUGCUUGCAUGAGAACCAGUCAUAUCGGUGAAGAAGACGGCCAUGGGCUUAGGUUUUGGUGGCAAAACAGCUCCCCUGCCCCAAAAAAGAAAAGAGAAUAGAAAAGAAAAAGGCAUAAUAAAUAUCAGCCACACAUUGUGAUAAGUAUAUUGAAAGAAACGAGACAGAAUAAGAAAAGAGGAAGCUUCAGUAUCCUGUCACGUUGCCACUCCCUUCUGAUAACAGAAGCAUCUUUUCUUCUGUCCCCUUACUCCCUCCCAGAAACCCUGACACCCUUUCCAUUUAAAUAGCAGCACCCUAGGCCUCCAACAUCCCUGAGCUAAAUAUUCAAGUCCACAUGUCCCUUCUUGCCUGGAAAGAGACAGAACCCAGCACCAGCCAGGCCCCUGCCCUUCCCUCACUCUCAGUUCCCUGAGCCUCAAUUCCUUAUCUGUAAAAUGGAAAUGAUAGCCUAAGGCAUAAGGUCUGAGGACCUCAUGAGAUCAAGCAUGGGGCCUGGCACUCUGUAAACAUCGAAUCAACCAGAUUUUCUUUGCCCAAACAGCCCUCUUUUCUUACACUUUCUUCCUCGUUAUUCUUCUGAGUAUGCCACUUGUAAAGGAUAAGCCAUGAGGUUGCCCUGCAGAGUGCAAGAUGGUUGCAAUAUUUGAGAGCCUAUUGUGUGUGAGGCCCUGGAGGAUGGCAGAGGGAACAGGAGGAAAACAAAGUCACAUGCUUUACCCUCAAACAAAGGGCUGUCUGCGAUAGUUACAAUGUAUAUAUUAAAGGCUGUCUGUGAUAGUUAAGAUGUAUA